UACGAAGGGGGCUAGCGUUGCUCGGAAUCACUGGGCGUAAAGCGCACGUAGGCGGACUCUUAAGUCAGGGGUGAAAUCCUGGAGCUCAACUCCAGAACUGCCUUUGAUACUGGGAGUCUUGAGUCCGGAAGAGGUAAGUGGAACUGCGAGUGUAGAGGUGAAAUUCGUAGAUAUUCGGAAGAACACCAGUGGCGAAGGCGGCUCACUGGCCCGGUACUGACGCUGAGGUGCGAAAGCGUGGGGAGCAAACAGG
This 253-nucleotide ribosomal RNA is filed under the name uncultured bacterium. RNAcentral's name for it is "partial 16S ribosomal RNA". It matches the Rfam family "Bacterial small subunit ribosomal RNA", at positions 524 to 776 of the family's 1533-position model. The record is from RNAcentral.